RNAcentral lists this ribosomal RNA (253 nucleotides) under uncultured Helicobacteraceae bacterium. RNAcentral describes it as "partial 16S ribosomal RNA". It matches the Rfam family "Bacterial small subunit ribosomal RNA", at positions 524 to 776 of the family's 1533-position model. The record is from RNAcentral. Lineage: Bacteria; Pseudomonadati; Campylobacterota; Epsilonproteobacteria; Campylobacterales; Helicobacteraceae.
UACGUAGGUGGCAAGCGUUGUCCGGAUUUACUGGGUGUAAAGGGCGUGCAGCCGGAGAGGCAAGUCAGAUGUGAAAUCCGCGGGCUCAACCCGCGAACUGCAUUUGAAACUGUUAUUCUAGAGUAUGGGAGAGGUAGGUGGAAUUCUUGGUGUAGGGGUAAAAUCCGUAGAGAUCAAGAGGAAUACCCAUUGCGAAGGCGACCUGCUAGAACAUAACUGACGCUGAUGCGCGAAAGCGUGGGGAGCAAACAGG